This 4122-nucleotide unclassified non-coding RNA is filed under the name Eufriesea mexicana. Its description in RNAcentral is "angiomotin-like protein 1, transcript variant X1". The record is from RNAcentral. Lineage: Eukaryota; Metazoa; Arthropoda; Insecta; Hymenoptera; Apidae.
AUGAGUUCUCUGCAACAAGGUAGCAGAUUCUUACCUUUUUCAAAUAAUAAUAUACAAAGGAAGCAACUAUCAAUGCAAGGUGGUCUUCCACAAAGUUUAAGUGGCAGUGAAACUGAUGUUUCAACUUCAAAUGAGAAUUUAACCAAUGAAGAUCGCUAUGUUAUAAGACAUACAGCUCGUCAAGAACCUCAAGGUCAAGAAAAUCAACAGCAAAGUCCAUCCAGAUCUUCCAGUCAUAAAGAAAAUAUACCAAAUAUACAAGGUAACCUGCUCAACAGAAACAGUUUGAAGGACAGUCUGAAUGGUUCAAACAGGAACAGUUUGAAAGAGAAUUUGAAUGGUUCUAAUCGAAAUAGCCUUAAAGACAGCAUUAAUGGUUCUAAUAGAAAUAGUUUGAAAGAUAAUUUAAGUAAUCGUACCAGUGUAGGUUCGAAUAGAAGUAGCUUAGAUGUAUCUACAAGCUCCUACAACACGCUUAUUAUACACAAUGCUAAUGAUGAUAACUCAUGGGUACCAACUGGAAGGUUGUCAGGUGUAGUACGAGAACAUGGAGAUAUGGCUUACCUAUAUUGUGAUGGUGGAGGAAAAGGACAUUCAAAUAGUCCCACUAUGCAGUCUUUAUCAAAUUUAUCUCAUGAAGAUCAUGUUUAUGAACAACCUAAUAACGGAGGAUGUCAAGAAAUUACAGACAUACCAGACGAUUAUCUUAGUCAAUCACAGGUAUUAAAACAUCUUGCAAAAGAAGUUAAAGUACCAUCUUACAGUAAAUUAACGAAUAAUGGAGGAAAUAUUGAUAUGAGAAUGAGAGAUAGCGAUAGAGGGAAACAAAAUGAUAGUGAAUCAGAAGACAGACCACCACCUUCAUAUAUGUCUGUUUUGUUACCAUUAAAAAAUAAAUCUCGACUUCUUGGGCCAAUUGAAAAGUUAACAUUGUCAAGAUCACAACCUGACUUGUCUAGAAUCGGCAAACCAGAUAUUGAUAACUACAAUUUGCGGGCCACAUCUCCACGACCUCAGACAAAAGGGAGAGAAGAGACGGAAUCUGCAACAGGUGAAAUUUGGGCACCAUCAGAAAUGAUACAAAUUGUAAUUCAAGAGAAUAGUGCUUUAAAAUUAGAGUUAGAACGAUGUUAUAGCAAAGUUGCUAAAUCUCAAAAGUUGGAACAAGAAAUCACGAAAGUACACAGGGCUCAUGAGGAAUUGGCGGCGUCAAGCGAACGAAGAGAGAAACUAGAACGAGCUGCUAGAUUGAGGUUACAAAAUGACUGCAGACGAUUAACCGAAUUAAAUCGCGCGUUGAGAGAUCAAAUAGAUUUAUUAUCAGCACGUACAGAUAGCCCGCCGAUCGUAGAAUCUAUGAGGAAAGAAUUGACGCAACGAGAAUUAUUAAUUGGCCAAUUGAUUACACAGAAUAAAGAAUUAGCCGCAGCGAAAGAAAGGCAGGAAAUCGAAUUAGCAGCACAACGAGCAACUUUACAGGAGCAGCGUACACACAUAGAUAUUCUAGACACUGCUCUUACUAAUGCACAGGGCAAUGUAGUACGUCUUGAAGAAGAGUGUCGGAAAAAGCAAGUAUACGUAGAAAGAGUAGGCCAACUUCAACGAGCUUUGUCUUCUCUUCAAGCGUCUAGCGAUAGAAGAGAAGAAACAGAGAGACAGUUGAGAGGUCAAUUAGAACGGGAGUUAAGAGAAGGCGGCGGCGGUGGUGGCGGUGGUGUUAAUGGUAAUGAACAAUCUUCCAAUGGAGAAACGAUCGCAGAGUUAAAACGACGAAUACGCGAAAGAGACGAAAAAAUUAUGUCACUCGAGGGUGAUGUUGCGAAAUGGGAACAGCGUUAUCUCGAGGAAAGUGCACUAAGGCAAGCGGCAAUUGAUGCAGCUAGUCUACCAAAGGACGCCAAGAUAGCUGCGUUAGAAAAAACGAGUCAAGAUGCCGAGAAAUUAAUUGCAGAGGCACGCUCCGAGAAAAUGAGACACAUGGAUGAAGUACAUGCUGCACAAAAGAAAUUGGCUGAUCUUGAAUCUAGAAUGAAGGAUCUAGAAUCAAAAUUAGCCGAAAGAGAUGCAAUGAUUAGAGUCCUUCAAAAACAUACGUAUGAUAAGGAUAGUAGUAGCAGUAGCGGUGUUGGUAGUUAUCCUGCUGCACACUCGUCUCAUUCAAGUACAUCAGCGGAUCACCACACUGCGUUAACAAGCACGCCAGAACUUGUAAGCAGUGUCUUGGGUGGUGGUAGUGGUUAUGGAAGUACUGGUUCGUAUGGUGUUACGGACAGUUACAAAUAUAGGAAGCAAGGCAGCUUCGAGCAAACGAAUAAAAGUCUCGAUGAUCAAUUAAAAGAACUAGACUCCCAGCUACUUAGUAAGCGGGCACUUUGCUGUUUUCCAGGAUUCUCUAAUCCAGGCACUGCGUCGCGAAAAGGAAAAAUACCCAAGCCAUUAUUGGCGGGUGUAGAUAGCACAGGUACCUCGAGCACCGCCUCAAGCAAGAGUCGCCUAUUAGACGACUCCGGUGGCGAGGUCUCGCCGGGUAUCAUGGAAUUUGCGAGUGCAGCCUCGAGGCUGAAAGGCACUGUAUCGAGAUUAUCAGACGGUAAGCCCGAAGACAUGAUGCUGCUGGAGAAGCAGGGCAGAAGCUCGCAGAGACAGAGGAUGCAGGAGGGCGAGCCACGUCGCGCGGGCAGUCUUCCUCCUAGUUCGUUACCGCGGCCACCGAAGAAUCUGAAGUCCACGAGCUCGCGUUACUGCAGACUCAGCGACACGGAGACUCGCAAGAAGUCCGAUCCGGGUCCAGCUUUGGACUCCUCUGCGAGCAUGAAGGUGCGCGAUACGAGCAACUGCACCAUCGAGUACGGUAGAUUCGACACGAAGGCUCAGCGCCGAAAGAAAUCGUCUGCCACGGAGCCGUUGGUGGUGAAUAACUCGCUGAAGAAGCCGUCGUCUACCACGAGCCACGAGUACGAGCGCCUGCAGGGUGAAAAUGUUCGCAAGAAACAGCCAUGCAAUUCGGAAACGAAGCACAGGGAAACGCAGAGUCGCUCGCUGAUACCGCCGCCGUCUCGUCGCAUCGGAGAGUACGGUCGUCUGAGUGAGGGCACGUUGAGGAAGCAAACUGGUUCACGGGGUCAGAGCACCGGAAGCACGGUGAGCAGCAAGAGCGGAGGACGCGAUUCUGGGGGCACAGCUAGCAGCGAGGCGUCCACGUCAUCGUUGCCUCCUUCCAAAGCGAGAUCCAUACCUCGCCCGAGCAAUUACCGCAUUCAGUUUUAACUUGUAUCGCUUGGAACCGGGUUAGUCUUCCCUAUCUAAAGAGAGUGUCCUCCCAAGAGACGUUCUCUCAGAGGAGCGUAUAACGAGCAACUGGAGGGAUACAAUUUUCCGUACUUUAUCUUCCACGUAUGAGAACCUUUUUUACCAAACAUUGCGGAUGUCAGAGCAGCGCAGCAGGAUCGAAUGGUGAAAUUACUGAAUGGAAGCGAGCGGUAAACGUGGAAUAGAAUGGGCGGCGGCAGAUCGGGGAUUAAUAAGAGAAGGAAAAAUCAAAAGUGAGACCGGUUUCAAGAGCGUCUCUGCCUCGUCCUUCAGUGGUUCGGAUCCUAUCUAGAGUCCUAAUGUACGUAUGCGCGAGCAAUACGUGUACACAGCCAUAAUAUUAAAACGAUGCGUUAGUUUCCUUUACUACCAUUAAUAACGGAAAAGCGAAGCCGAUCGCACGACAUAGCGAGAAACCACGGUAUAUCGUUGCGUAGCGAUAGCGCAUGACCUAGUCAUUACCAAAGUAACUUCUGUAACGAAAAACGGAAUUGAUUUCCUCUCGUUUCGUACGCACCUACAUCUAGGAACAUUGCGGCUUUUGUCGAAUAAUAUAUUCGUAUGAUGCGCGAAAAACAAGUGCCUUGUCAAAGACUGCGUGGAAAAAGGAAAAGAAAAAGAAAAAAAAUAAAACAAUCGGUACAACUAGAAAUAAGAGUACGUUCAGGAAUUUUCAGAAUUCCGGAGGACGCUGGUUCUUCGGAUCAAGUCGACGACCUCGUGGCCCCCUAAAUGGUCGCGUUAUUUUUCGAAUAUGUAUUUUAUCCUUUCGCUAAGAUUAUCGUAUUUCUGCGCGUGCCUUAUGAAAGCAUU